GAGGGUAUAGCUCAGUGGUAGAGCGUGUGCUUAACAUGCAUGAGGUCCUGGGUUUAAUCCCCAGUACCUCUA
Molecule: transfer RNA, 72 nt
Filed under: Camelus bactrianus (Bactrian camel)
Lineage: Eukaryota; Metazoa; Chordata; Mammalia; Artiodactyla; Camelidae
Also listed under: 2 other names
Rfam family: tRNA
About the family: Transfer RNA (tRNA) molecules are approximately 80 nucleotides in length. Their secondary structure includes four short double-helical elements and three loops (D, anti-codon, and T loops).
Source: Rfam by way of RNAcentral